UACGGAGGGUGCAAGCGUUAUCCGGAUUUACUGGGUUUAAAGGGUGCGUAGGCGGAUUUGUAAGUCCGAGGUGAAAUCUCCGAGCUUAACUCGGAAACUGCCUUGGAUACUAUAAGUCUUGAAUGACGUUGAGGUUAGCGGAAUAUGUCAUGUAGCGGUGAAAAGGUUAGAUAGGACAUAGAACAUCUAUUGCGAAGGCAGCUAACUAAGCGUAUAUUGACGCUGAUGCACGAAAGCGUGGGGAUAAAACAGA
Molecule: ribosomal RNA, 253 nt
Filed under: uncultured bacterium
Lineage: Bacteria
Description: partial 16S ribosomal RNA
Rfam family: Bacterial small subunit ribosomal RNA
Source: RNAcentral